This 496-nucleotide ribosomal RNA is filed under the name uncultured Bacillus sp. Its description in RNAcentral is "bacterial SSU rRNA". It matches the Rfam family "Bacterial small subunit ribosomal RNA", at positions 30 to 507 of the family's 1533-position model. The record is from RNAcentral. Lineage: Bacteria; Bacillati; Bacillota; Bacilli; Caryophanales; Bacillaceae.
UGAACGCUGGCGGCGUGCCUAAUACAUGCAAGUCGAGCGAACGGAUUAAGAGCUUGCUCUUAAGAAGUUAGCGGCGGACGGGUGAGUAACACGUGGGUAACCUGCCCAUAAGACUGGGAUAACUCCGGGAAACCGGGGCUAAUACCGGAUAACAUCUAGCACCGCAUGGUGCAAGAUUGAAAGGCGGCUUCGGCUGUCACUUAUGGAUGGACCCGCGUCGCAUUAGCUAGUUGGUGAGGUAACGGCUCACCAAGGCGACGAUGCGUAGCCGACCUGAGAGGGUGAUCGGCCACACUGGGACUGAGACACGGCCCAGACUCCUACGGGAGGCAGCAGUAGGGAAUCUUCCGCAAUGGACGAAAGUCUGACGGAGCAACGCCGCGUGGCGAUGAAGGCCUUCGGGUCGUAAAGCUCUGUUGUUAGGGAAGAACAAGUGUGAGUUGAAUAAGCUCAUGCCUUGACGGUACCUAACCAGAAAGCCACGGCUAACUACGUG